AUGGAUCUUGGUGAAAUCGUAGGAAAAAUUUUAAUUUUCUGCAACGUUCCCCAACACAUCUUUCAGAAGCCUGAACCUAACAUGAGUCAGCUGCUCAGUAUGAUGAAGCCAUUACCCCAAGAUGCUGCAUAUCCCAAAGAGUUCUUCGUUGAAGACCUAGAAUAUCUGUCAAGGACUAUUUAUCACAUCAUAAGGCGAACUCUCUGGCCCAUCAAAGGGCACUCUCCACAUGCCAAGCUGGAAGGUGCAAUGAAGACUUUGGUUUUCUAUAUUCUUCAUGGAAAAUGCUUCAAUGCACAAGACUUCUUCAUUCGCCAACUUGCUGCAUCAGGCUCUGAUCUAUUUGGCUUCAAGUUCUACGCCCCAUGGGUAAUGCGGCUGAUCAAACUUCACUCCGCUAUCUCAUAUCAGCCAUCUGCUCGCAAUCAUCGGAUUUUUCUGCCUGAUGUGGAUAUGUCUAUUGAAGCCAUCUAUCCUGAGCCUGCCAAGGAACCUCUAAGUCUUCAGAAUGCAGAGCAUCAAAAUUUUUUUGAGAACAUUGAAGGAGUUGAAGCAGUCACUCGUGUGUAUCCUUUGGCUGGCACUACACAUGCACCACAUCCUGCCCUCACUGAAGCCACUGACAGUACAACUGCCCCACGACCCAAGAAGCGCACUCGUGUUCUCAAUGACCGAGAGCUUCUUGUGGCUCUUCAUCAGAAAUAG
RNAcentral lists this ribosomal RNA (705 nucleotides) under Triticum aestivum (bread wheat). Its description in RNAcentral is "partial small subunit ribosomal RNA". The record is from RNAcentral. Lineage: Eukaryota; Viridiplantae; Streptophyta; Magnoliopsida; Poales; Poaceae.